This 433-nucleotide ribosomal RNA is filed under the name uncultured bacterium. Its description in RNAcentral is "partial 16S ribosomal RNA". It matches the Rfam family "Bacterial small subunit ribosomal RNA", at positions 29 to 507 of the family's 1533-position model. The record is from RNAcentral.
AACGAACGCUGGCGGCAUGCCUAACACAUGCAAGUCGAACGAGACCUUCGGGUUUAGUGGCGCACGGGUGCGUAACGCGUGGGAACCUGCCUUUAGGUUCGGAAUAACUCAGAGAAAUUUGAGCUAAUACCGGAUGAUGUCUUCGGAGCAAAGAUUUAUCGCCUUUAGAUGGGCCCGCGUUGGAUUAGCUAGUUGGUGGGGUAAAGGCCUACCAAGGCGACGAUCCAUAGCUGGUCUGAGAGGAUGAUCAGCCACACUGGGACUGAGACACGGCCCAGACUCCUACGGGAGGCAGCAGUGGGGAAUAUUGGACAAUGGGCGAAAGCCUGAUCCAGCAAUGCCGCGUGAGUGAUGAAGGCCUUAGGGUUGUAAAGCUCUUUUACCCGAGAUGAUAAUGACAGUAGCGGGAGAAUAAGCUCCGGCUAACUCCGUG